Molecule: long non-coding RNA, 1591 nt
Organism: Mustela erminea (ermine)
Lineage: Eukaryota; Metazoa; Chordata; Mammalia; Carnivora; Mustelidae
Exons: 3
Source: RefSeq, a predicted model, not a curated record
GAGAAAGCCAACUUGGUGGUUAGCCUGCCCGCGGAGCCUUACUUCCCAGUGAGAUAGGGUGGGGUCGGAGCCAGAGGACCCCAGUCCUGGACCCGGAUGUCAAUUAAUGAAUUAAACCAGCUAACCCAUCAGUCAUGCUACUGAUGCUCCUGAUCAGAAAACACAUCAACCGAUAUGUCCCCUGCAGUCCAGGAGCAUAUCAUUUCAGACUAACAACAUGGCGUACACAGCACAGAAGGACGUGAGCAACAUACCCAAGGAGCUGGCAGCCAUGGCGGGAUAAAGACAUGGGCUUUGGUCCAGGAGGAAGAGGAAAAGGAACUGUGUGGACAGCAAAAGCUGCCAGGUAUAGAAGCACAAGGUGAAAAUCCAUACCUUAUAUCCACUUUGGUCAAUUUUAUAUGGAGAAAAUGACCACGCCAGUGUUUUUCACACUUUUGAUUACCAGAUAGGUUUACCUGGCUGGCUUGGCCAAUAAAGAUAUUAACCAUGAAGGGGACUGAACCCAAAAUGACAUGACCUUCAUCGUUGAAAGACUUUGGGGGAGAAGACAGCUUUGGGGAUCUCAUCCACUAUGGGUGGGGAGGCUGAUGCAUUGAGGGAGAUAUUCUGGGUGUGUGGUCUACAAUGCGGGAGAGAGCUCAGCUGCUGUGGCCCUACCCUGGAGAAGCAAGUGGCGUCUAAUAAGCUGGGGGCUUUGUGGGCAAUCUUGCUUUCCGUGGGUAAGCUUAAAGAAGAAUUAGGAUCUCCCAUGCUUUGAAGCCCAGGGCUGCUCAGCUCACACUACCUGGCCGUGAGCCCCUGAGGCCCAUUUGAUAGUGCUUCGAUGAUGAGAAAAAAAGGAGCCAGGCCCUGGAUGUCAUCUCUGCUGGAGACUAGUUUCCACCUUGCUCUGGACCCUUGGAUAUGCCACUUGACCUUCUUGUUUCUAUUUCCUUAUUAGCAAAAGAAAUGAGUUGGAUUAGAUGUUCUCUAGGAGCCCUUCCAAUUUUCCAAGUCUGUGAAUCAGGUACACUUUAAAAAAAAUACAUACUUCUUCAGUUGGGAAAACAAUGAGAAAUGUAGAAGCAAUGAGAAAGCCCUGAAAAGACAGAGAAUCUCUUGUUCCCAAUUUGUUCUGCUUUGUGAAUGGGGAGGGGACACCUUUGCAAACUAGUACUCGGGGAGAAAAGAGAGGCAGAAGACAUUUCCAGGAGGCUAAGGGUGGGGCAGAGGCCCUGUUGGACAGGGCUACUGUGGGCCCACAGGGGUGGGGGCAUCAGUGGUGGUCGUCCAUGUGCUCCUGUGAUCCUCCCGGGGGGGGGCACCCCCCCACCCCAUCUCCACUACACCUCUCAUCUGCACCUGCCCUCAGUGGUCUCUGUCCCUGACUGUGGCUUCAGGCAUGGUCUUGUGCUCUAGGGCUGCUUGCUUUUUGCCACCCAUACGAGAAAACUUCUUUUUUCAUGAUUAUCAAAGCAAUACACACCACUUCAGAAUAAGAGGAAGGUACCAAAAAGUAUUAAGCACAAAAACCAAAUUCAGUUAUAAUCUGAUCACCCAGAGCUAUUCACAUUUAAGUGUGUUUUCUUCUUCUUCUUCUUCUUCUUUU